Molecule: long non-coding RNA, 666 nt
Filed under: Coffea arabica (coffee)
Lineage: Eukaryota; Viridiplantae; Streptophyta; Magnoliopsida; Gentianales; Rubiaceae
Description: long non-coding RNA (CARA_LNC004669)
Source: RNAcentral
GAUUAGAUCAAACACUAAUAGGGUCAAGUGUCAUGAAACCAAUGGAGGGUGGACUUUGACUACUAUUCUCCAACUUUACUAAAUAUCAAAUUUGACUCAAAAAUCAUCUUCAUUCGCUCCAUCUUGGCCGAACCUCUUAAGGAAAGAAAAGAGAGAAAACUCCAACUUUUAUCUUCCAUUUCUUGCUUAUAUCUUGAAAUCCAACCGAUUAAAUCUUGAAUUUGUCCACAAAAGUGACUUGCUAAGGGAGUUUCAAGGUAUUGGUGGAGUUGUUUUGGAGGAGGAACCCCUAAGUUACUACCUUUCUUGAGGUGUCAAGGUAUUUUGCUUGGAAACUCACUUUUGUUCCUAAUAAUGGUAAAUUAGUAGUUUGUAGUGGCUAAAUAUGCUAUUUUAUGGAAGAUUUUGUGAUUUGAGGUAGAGUUAGUUAAAUUUCAGAUUUUAUUGGUGAUUUUUCUGAUUUUAUAUGAUAGUUAUUGGUUGGCCAUGAAUGAUGGCUUGAUAUGGUGUAAAAUGAAGUUUUUAUAUGUUAGUUGUGGUUGUUUGCGGAAAAUUUCAGUUUUGUGCGGAAAUUUCAGUAUUAGGGUUUCAAUUUGCCCUGUUCUGACCGGCUUUAUUCGUGCAUGUUAGAGGCCGAAUCAGGGUUAGGUUAAAACAUGAAAGUUU